Molecule: long non-coding RNA, 2076 nt
Filed under: Nicotiana benthamiana
Lineage: Eukaryota; Viridiplantae; Streptophyta; Magnoliopsida; Solanales; Solanaceae
Description: long non-coding RNA (NBEN_LNC024173)
Source: RNAcentral
AACAUUUGACUCACAAGUACCACACAAUAUUCACAAUUCACCCAUUUAUAUUAACAUAGAGGUCACUGGCACUAUCUUUCUUUUAUUAUUCAAGUGCCCUCACACAACAAAGGAAGGGAGUUUCACACAAUAAAAUUUAAGAACACUUAGGAAUUCAAGAUAGAAAGAACUCACUCACUCUCAAAAAUAACAUUCAUAUGCCACUAAACAUGCACCAUAAGCUUUCCCGUAGUGUACUACUCCACUAAUCAAGCUCAUUCAAUCUAGGAUCAAUUAGGACUUUAUUUCGUUGUAACGUAGACUAUGAGACGGGUAGGAUACAUUUAGAUAUAAGAGUGACUAUACCUCCCUAAGCACUUUCAUACAUAUACUUUAACAUUCAAACUCCAUACUUAUGUCAAAACAAACUCCACCUUCACAUCAAUGUAUAUUAUCACAUACCUCUUUAAGCACAAUUACAUCAAGAGUCACCACUUAUUAAGGAAUAGUUUUGUUUCACAGCAAUACAACUAUUUUUUUUCAAUUCAAGUGGCUUCUUCUUGUUCAAAACAGUGUAUCGUUUUCCUUAUUUCAUUAGUUCCACUCAAAAGCCAAUCCAACCACCCCACACGUUAAUGUUUACAAAGUUCAUAACAAUUCAAGUGCUCAUGAAAGGUGAAAAGGUUCAAAUAUAUGUUUAAUUCAAACAAUUGGGUAAGGCUUGUAAUGUGGUUGCCAAAGAAACAAGAUUACAGGCUCAAAGGGAUUAACUAUGAUACAUGACAAUUAGGUGGGUAAAAUAUACAUAUUUGGCUCAACAAAGAAAACGCCUAUAUCACUUCCAAGAUUGAACAAAAUUACUAUUUUGCUUUACAAACACACAGGGCAAGUUCUAGGCAUCCAAUGCAAUGCACAUAAUAACAACAAACCUUACAUGCACAUGGCCUAUGACUCACUUAGGAUUGGUUUUAUAAAGACACUCUAGUAAAAUUUAAGCAAAGUUAAGAACAUACAAUUUAAGGUACUUAUACUAGAGUCAAAAACUGAGCCUAAACGUCACAACAAAAGUACUCACUAUUCUCAAGGCAUAACAAAAUCAAGAGAUAUUACUUCAAUUCAAAAAACAACACAAUGGCUCCUAUUCCUAAAAAAAUUAACUACACCCGGUUCAAAUAAAACCCUUGGAAAAGAACCAUGACACAAAUAAAAACAAAGGGUAAUUGCUACACUACCGAACAAAAAAAAUCUUUUUGUUUUUUUCUUUAGACUUAAAUCCCUCAAAAAAAAUUUCUAAUAGAUCUAUCGUUGAAAAAAUUCCAAUCUUUUCUAUUUAAAAAAAUAUUCAAUUAAACUAACACAACUAAAAUAGCAUAGAAAGUCACCCAGACAAUCUCCUCACCCCAUACUUAAAACAAGGCAUUGUCCCCAAUGCAAACCAUAACUAAUAAAAAGGGUAAAAGAGACUACCUGAUAGGCCAAAGGCCGAAGCACUAACAGCUCAUGGGAUACUCAGACUUCUCCCAAGAUUGGUCCUUUGUGCGGGUGCUCACACUUAGUUCUAACCAUUUGGUUUGUUAUUGCAUCCUUCCAAUACAUUUUCUUUCCGUACUCCUAGAAAAUAAAAAUUAACACUACAAAAAUAAUACAAUUAAAAAAAUUAAUACAAAAAAAUAAAAAAAAAUAGUAAAGCUGGGUUGCCUCCCAACAAGCGCUUUCAUACAAUCUCCUCACUCCAUACAUAAAUUGCGCAUUGUCCCCAAUGCACAUCAUAACUAAUAAAAGGGUUAAAGAGACUCCCUGGUAGGCCAAAGGCCGAAGCACUAACAGCUUAUGGGGUUCUCAAACUUCUCCCAAGCUCGGUCCUUCAUGUGCGUAGCUCAAACUUAGUUCCAAUCAUUUGGUUUGUUGUUGCAUCCUUCCAAUAUCUUUGCUUUUCAUGCUCCUAGAAAAUAAAAAAUUGAUACUACAAAAUAAUACAAUUAAAAAAAAUAAAAAAUAAAUAAAAUAAGCAAUGAAGUUGGGUUGCCUCGCAACAAGCGCUUGAUUUAAUGUCGCGGUACGAUUUGAAUCACUUUUUGCCUCCACCUUGAGCUUAUG